Lolium rigidum is the source of this 1259-nucleotide long non-coding RNA. RefSeq lists it as uncharacterized. Lineage: Eukaryota; Viridiplantae; Streptophyta; Magnoliopsida; Poales; Poaceae. The record is from RefSeq and is a predicted model, not a curated record. The transcript is spliced from 3 exons.
GCCGCCGUUCCUUUCCUCUCUCUUCUGGUCACCGUCUCAGCGAACCACCCAAAAACAGUGAGGCGAUUCGCAGCAACAAAUAACCACCGAGGCUACCAACACCUCCAGGUUGCCGAUAUCCCUCUAUUCUGCGUCGAUUCAGAAGAGAGCGGCCACUUCUUUGGUUUCUUCUACGGUGAAGGUGCCGGCGAAGUUCAGCUGGAGGCAUAGGAAUCUUCGAUCCGCCGGUGGAUCCGGCCCACCAUCCGAGGAACGCCUCUCCUUCCCUUCCUCUGGGCGUCGUCGUUAUCAUGGUGUGCAAAUUGAAACCGCUGUCGUCCCGUCCGUAAUCAUGGUGAUAAAAAGUUCGACCUUCUCGCUCCUCUAAUUAUGGUGAUUAAUCUCACCGUUGCUGCCAGUUCUCUAAUAUCAAACUUUUUUUUUUCGAAAACAUUCUUCUCUUCUUGAUAAAUAUAUGCAGCGAGCAACCCUGUUUCUCUACCCCUUCGGUCUCGCCUUCCACUUCAAGGGAUUGUUGUUGUUUGGGGUUUUUAUUCAGGGACUGAUCACGGCAACUCUGUAACCUUCAUUUGCGACCAUGGCCGCUGGACAGCUAAGGGACAAAGUAGAAGGGGGACGGCAAGUGUAGGUGAGUCAUGCAAGGAUGGUGACGAGUUCUGUAUGGAACAAAGUUGAAUCCAUGGUCAUGACAAGGAGAAUUGGGGCUUGCACCAAGAUAUGAGGUCUGCUAGCUUUGCCCUUUAAUCUCUUCAUAUUAAGAACAUCAUGGUUACUACACACUCCCGUUAACUGUAGUACUUCACACCAAAGUAUAAAGCUGAUAACUGAGUUUCAGCUCAGUGGCAAGGUAAGGCGAGUGCGCAGCCAGCCCAUCCGGGUUCGAAUUCCAUCUGUAGCGAGAAAUCGCUGGAGGCCGAACUAAACGGGUUAUCAUCCGUAGCGAGAAAUCGCUGGAGAGUCUCAUCCUAUCUAACAACGUAUAGCCAAAGGAGGGAUCAUUCCCCCGUUGGUCAACGUUUUUUUAAGUAUAAAGCUAAUGCUCAAAGACUCCAGAUUUGCCUUUUUUAUACAUAUAUGUUUCAUCACGAGUCAUCAGACUAGCUCAAAAGAGCAUAUGGACAUAUAUAUACUACUGUUGGUACUUGUACCGUGAAGCAGACACAAGAAAUGCAGGAUCUAAUUAAUUCUCACAUGAAGAAAUUUUGCUUGUAUUCUCAAUAUGAUAUGCCCAAGUGUACUUAGGUCAAUAAACACAUCAU